UACGAAGGGAGCUAGCGUUGUUCGGAAUUACUGGGCGUAAAGCGCGCGUAGGCGGUGAUCUAUGUCAGAGGUGAAAUCCCGGGGCUCAACUCCGGAAUUGCCUUUGAAACGGGAUCGCUAGAGUCCGAGAGAGGAUGGCGGAAUUCCUAGUGUAGAGGUGAAAUUCGUAGAUAUUAGGAAGAACACCGGUGGCGAAGGCGGCCAUCUGGCUCGGUACUGACGCUCAGGCGCGAAAGCGUGGGGAGCAAACAGG
RNAcentral lists this ribosomal RNA (253 nucleotides) under uncultured bacterium. RNAcentral describes it as "partial 16S ribosomal RNA". It matches the Rfam family "Bacterial small subunit ribosomal RNA", at positions 524 to 776 of the family's 1533-position model. The record is from RNAcentral.